Molecule: microRNA precursor, 101 nt
Filed under: Marmota monax (woodchuck)
Lineage: Eukaryota; Metazoa; Chordata; Mammalia; Rodentia; Sciuridae
Source: RNAcentral
AAGGAAGGAAGGAAGGAAGGAAGGAAGGAAGAAGCAAAGAUAGGAUUAGCAUUAUCUUCCUUCCUUCCUUCCUUCCUUCCUUCCUUCCUUCCUUCCUUCCU